GAGGAUAUAGCUCAGUGGUAGAGUGCAUGCCUAGUGUGCAUGAGGUCCUGGGUUCAACCCCUAGUACCUCCA
Molecule: transfer RNA, 72 nt
Filed under: Camelus bactrianus (Bactrian camel)
Lineage: Eukaryota; Metazoa; Chordata; Mammalia; Artiodactyla; Camelidae
Also listed under: 2 other names
Rfam family: tRNA
About the family: Transfer RNA (tRNA) molecules are approximately 80 nucleotides in length. Their secondary structure includes four short double-helical elements and three loops (D, anti-codon, and T loops).
Source: Rfam by way of RNAcentral